UCACAUCCGAGGCCUUGUAAUUGGAAUGAGUACACUUUAAAUCCUUUAACAAGGAUCAAUUGGAGGGCAAGUCUGGUGCCAGCAGCCGCGGUAAUUCCAGCUCCAAUAGCGUAUAUUAAAGUUGUUGCGGUUAAAACGUUCGUAGUUGAACUUGUGUUUCGUACGGGCAGCUACCAUAGGCCAGUUUACUGGUCCGGUAACUUGUCUUAUCUUGCCGUGGCUUUAGUCUUGGCAAAAGUGCGUGGACGUAUUAUCGGCGUGUUCGCUCUUGCAGCGUUCACAUAAGCUCAUUUCAGUCAUCUUAACCGAUUGUUGUUGUGAGCCGAUACAAAUUACUUUGAACAAAUUAGAGUGCUUAAAGCAGGCUUGUAUGCCUGAAUAUUUUGUGCAUGGAAUAAUGAAAUAGGACAUCUGUUCUACUUUCAUUGGUUUUUUAGACCAAGAUGUAAUGAUUAAUGGAAGCAGUUGGGGGCAUUAGUAUUACAACGCGAGAGGUGAAAUUCUUAGACCGUUGUAAGACUGACUAAAGCGAAAGCAUUUGCCAAAGAUGUUUUCAUUUAAUCAAGAACGAAAGUUAGAGGUUCGAAGGCGAUCAGAUACCGCCCUAGUUCUAACCAUAAACGAUGCCAGCUAGCAAUUGAGUGUAGCUACUACUAUGGCUCUUUCAGUCGCUUCUCGGGAAACCAAAGCUUUUGGGCUCCGGGGGAAGUAUGGUUGCAAAGCUGAAACUUAAAGGAAUUGACGGAAGGGCACCACCAGGAGUGGAGCCUGCGGCUUAAUUUGACUCAACACGGGAAAACUUACCAGGUCCGAACAUAAAUGAGUAAGACAGAUUG
Molecule: ribosomal RNA, 836 nt
Filed under: Synplasta gracilis
Lineage: Eukaryota; Metazoa; Arthropoda; Insecta; Diptera; Mycetophilidae
Description: SSU rRNA
Rfam family: Eukaryotic small subunit ribosomal RNA
Source: RNAcentral